RNAcentral lists this ribosomal RNA (372 nucleotides) under uncultured organism. RNAcentral describes it as "bacterial SSU rRNA". It matches the Rfam family "Bacterial small subunit ribosomal RNA", at positions 526 to 896 of the family's 1533-position model. The record is from RNAcentral.
CGAAGGGUGCAAGCGUUACUCGGAAUUACUGGGCGUAAAGCGUGCGUAGGUGGUGAGUUAAGUCUGUCGUGAAAGCCCCGGGCUCAACCUGGGAAUGGCGAUGGAUACUGGCUCGCUAGAGUGCGGUAGAGGAGAGUGGAAUUCCCGGUGUAGCAGUGAAAUGCGUAGAGAUCGGGAGGAACAUCAGUUGCGAAGGCGGCUCUCUGGACCAGCACUGACACUGAGGCACGAAAGCGUGGGGAGCAAACAGGAUUAGAUACCCUGGUAGUCCACGCCCUAAACGAUGCGAACUGGACGUUGGGAGCAAUUAGGCUCUCAGUGUCGAAGCUAACGCGUUAAGUUCGCCGCCUGGGGAGUACGGUCGCAAGACUG